RNAcentral lists this ribosomal RNA (552 nucleotides) under Microbacterium testaceum. Its description in RNAcentral is "bacterial SSU rRNA". It matches the Rfam family "Bacterial small subunit ribosomal RNA", at positions 53 to 616 of the family's 1533-position model. The record is from RNAcentral. Lineage: Bacteria; Bacillati; Actinomycetota; Actinomycetes; Micrococcales; Microbacteriaceae.
CCAUGCAAGUCGUACCAGUGAAGCCAUUCAAUGCUUGGUGGAUCAGUGGCGAACGGGUGAGUAACACGUGAGCAACCUGCCCUGGACUCUGGGAUAAGCGCUGGAAACGGCGUCUAAUACUGGAUAUGAGACGUGAUCGCAUGGUCGUGUUUGGAAAGAUUUUUCGGUCUGGGAUGGGCUCGCGGCCUAUCAGCUUGUUGGUGAGGUAAUGGCUCACCAAGGCGUCGACGGGUAGCCGGCCUGAGAGGGUGACCGGCCACACUGGGACUGAGACACGGCCCAGACUCCUACGGGAGGCAGCAGUGGGGAAUAUUGCACAAUGGGCGAAAGCCUGAUGCAGCAACGCCGCGUGAGGGAUGACGGCCUUCGGGUUGUAAACCUCUUUUAGCAGGGAAGAAGCGAAAGUGACGGUACCUGCAGAAAAAGCGCCGGCUAACUACGUGCCAGCAGCCGCGGUAAUACGUAGGGCGCAAGCGUUAUCCGGAAUUAUUGGGCGUAAAGAGCUCGUAGGCGGUUUGUCGCGUCUGCUGUGAAAUCCCGAGGCUCAACCUC